UACGUAGGGGGCAAGCGUUGUCCGGAAUUAUUGGGCGUAAAGAGCUCGUAGGCGGUGUGUCGCGUCUGCUGUGAAAACUCAGGGCUCAACUCUGAGCUUGCAGUGGGUACGGGCACACUUGAGUGCUGUAGGGGAGACUGGAAUUCCUGGUGUAGCGGUGAAAUGCGCAGAUAUCAGGAGGAACACCGGUGGCGAAGGCGGGUCUCUGGGCAGUUACUGACGCUGAGGAGCGAAAGCAUGGGGAGCGAACAGG
RNAcentral lists this ribosomal RNA (253 nucleotides) under uncultured bacterium. RNAcentral describes it as "partial 16S ribosomal RNA". It matches the Rfam family "Bacterial small subunit ribosomal RNA", at positions 524 to 776 of the family's 1533-position model. The record is from RNAcentral.